GGGGAGGGUUGGGAUCCCGCUAACAUAAUUAACCCCGCCACAUUAUUUAUGUAUGUGCCUGUCCCAAGUCAGGAGCCUGUAAUUCAGUGGUUGUCGUUUGUUUAUGUGUUACAUAUUUGUUUUUCAUUCAUUUUUUUUUUACAUUGUCUUAUCGGGGCCUUUUAUAGCUGACUAUAUAUGCGGUAUGGGUUUUGCUCAUUGUUGAAGGCCGUAGGGUGACCUAUAAUUGUUAAUGUUUGUGUCAUUUUGGUCUUUUGUGGAUAGUUGUCUCAUUGGCAAUCAUACCACAUCUUCUUUUUUAUAUUUGGGUAUGAAGAUGUAGUAAAGGCUGAAUGCCAGUUUUAGUCUUAUAUAUG
This 356-nucleotide long non-coding RNA is filed under the name Mytilus galloprovincialis (Mediterranean mussel). Lineage: Eukaryota; Metazoa; Mollusca; Bivalvia; Mytilida; Mytilidae. The record is from RNAcentral.